AUUUCUGGCGGGAGCGGGUGGUCCGGCACUUAGUGUUGGUACUUUCCUGUCUCUUGCCAUCCUUGGGUCUAAGCUGUCUGGCAUUUAGUUGUCGGGCAGUGGCUGCCCAUCGUUUACUGUGAAAAAAUUAGAGUGUUCAAAGCAGGCUUAUGCCGUUGAAUAUAUUAGCAUGGAAUAAUAAGAUAGGACCUUGGUACUAUUUUGUUGGUUUGCGCACCGAGGUAAUGAUUAAGAGGGACAGUUGGGGGUAUUCGUAUUCAAUUGUCAGAGGUGAAAUUCUUGGAUUUCUGGAAGACGAACUACUGCGAAAGCAUUUACCAAGGAUGUUUUCAUUAAUCAAGAACGAAAGUUAGGGGAUCGAAGAUGAUUAGAUACCAUCGUAGUCUUAACCAUAAACUAUGCCGACUAGGGAUUUGUGGGUGUUAUUUAUGACCCC
RNAcentral lists this ribosomal RNA (436 nucleotides) under Attheya sp. RCC5585. RNAcentral describes it as "SSU rRNA". It matches the Rfam family "Eukaryotic small subunit ribosomal RNA", at positions 638 to 1078 of the family's 1831-position model. Lineage: Eukaryota; Bacillariophyta; Biddulphiophyceae; Attheyales; Attheyaceae. The record is from RNAcentral.